Molecule: ribosomal RNA, 382 nt
Filed under: uncultured bacterium
Lineage: Bacteria
Description: bacterial SSU rRNA
Rfam family: Bacterial small subunit ribosomal RNA
Source: RNAcentral
AACGAACGCUGGCGGCGUGCCUAACACAUGCAAGUCGACGAGAAAGGGGCUUCGGCCCUGAGUAAAGUGGCGCACGGGUGAGUAACACGUAGGUAACCUACCUCUAAGUUUAGGACAACCUGUCGAAAGAUGAGCUAAUACUGAAUGAGACCACAGUUUCUUCGGAAGCAGAGGUCAAAGGUAGCCUCUAUUUAUAAGCUAUCACUUAGAGAUGGGCCUGCGUACCAUUAGCAGUUGGUGAGGUAACGGCUCACCAAGGCAAAGAUGGUUAGCUGGUCUGAGAGGAUGAUCAGCCACACUGGAACUGAGACACGGUCCAGACUCCUACGGGAGGCAGCAGUGGGGAAUAUUGCGCAAUGGGCGAAAGCCUGACGCAGCAACG